RNAcentral lists this ribosomal RNA (492 nucleotides) under uncultured bacterium. RNAcentral describes it as "partial 16S ribosomal RNA". It matches the Rfam family "Bacterial small subunit ribosomal RNA", at positions 29 to 507 of the family's 1533-position model. The record is from RNAcentral.
AGUGAACGCUGGCGGUAGGCCUAACACAUGCAAGUCGAACGGCAGCACAGUAAGAGCUUGCUCUUACGGGUGGCGAGUGGCGGACGGGUGAGGAAUACAUCGGAAUCUACUUUUUCGUGGGGGAUAACGUAGGGAAACUUACGCUAAUACCGCAUACGACCUACGGGUGAAAGCAGGGGAUCUUCGGACCUUGCGCGAUUGAAUGAGCCGAUGUCGGAUUAGCUAGUUGGCGGGGUAAAGGCCCACCAAGGCGACGAUCCGUAGCUGGUCUGAGAGGAUGAUCAGCCACACUGGAACUGAGACACGGUCCAGACUCCUACGGGAGGCAGCAGUGGGGAAUAUUAGACAAUGGGCGCAAGGCUGAUCCAGCCAUACCGCGUGGGUGAAGAAGGCCUUCGGGUUGUAAAGCCCUUUUGUUGGGAAAGAAAAGCAGCAGGUUAAUACCCCGCUGUUCUGACGGUACCCAAAGAAUAAGCACCGGCUAACUUCGUG